This 253-nucleotide ribosomal RNA is filed under the name uncultured bacterium. RNAcentral describes it as "partial 16S ribosomal RNA". It matches the Rfam family "Bacterial small subunit ribosomal RNA", at positions 524 to 776 of the family's 1533-position model. The record is from RNAcentral.
UACGAAGGGGGCGAGCGUUGUUCGGAAUUACUGGGCGUAAAGGGCGCGUAGGCGGCGAUCCUAGUCAGAUGUGAAAGUCCUGGGCUUAACCUGGGGACUGCAUUUGAUACUGGAUUGCUUGAAUGCAGGAGAGGAUAGCGGAAUUCCCAGUGUAGAGGUGAAAUUCGUAGAUAUUGGGAAGAACACCGGUGGCGAAGGCGGCGACCUGGUCCGUGACUGACGCUGAGGCGCGAAAGCGUGGGGAGCAAACAGG